This 198-nucleotide ribosomal RNA is filed under the name Deinococcus sp. SB5B4. Its description in RNAcentral is "partial 16S ribosomal RNA". It matches the Rfam family "Bacterial small subunit ribosomal RNA", at positions 1303 to 1533 of the family's 1533-position model. The record is from RNAcentral. Lineage: Bacteria; Thermotogati; Deinococcota; Deinococci; Deinococcales; Deinococcaceae.
GUUUGCGAUGGCCACCAAAAAAUUGCGGCGCUAGUGAUCGUGGGUCAGCAUAUCUCGGUGAAUGCGUUCCCGGGCCUUGUACACACCGCCCGUCACCCACGGGAGUAAAUUGCAGCUCAAGCCGCCGGGAGCCGAAAGGCAGGCGUCUAGGCUGUGGUUCAUGACUGGGGGAAAGUCGUAAAAAAAAAAAAUUACCGU